Molecule: ribosomal RNA, 501 nt
Filed under: uncultured bacterium
Lineage: Bacteria
Description: partial 16S ribosomal RNA
Rfam family: Bacterial small subunit ribosomal RNA
Source: RNAcentral
GACAAACGCUGGCGGCAGGCUUAACACAUGCAAGUCGAGCGGGGGAAGGUAGCUUGCUACCGGACCUAGCGGCGGACGGGUGAGUAAUGCUUAGGAAUCUGCCUAUUAGUGGGGGACAACAUCUCGAAAGGGAUGCUAAUACCGCAUACGUCCUACGGGAGAAAGCAGGGGAUCUUCGGACCUUGCGCUAAUAGAUGAGCCUAAGUCGGAUUAGCUAGUUGGUGGGGUAAAGGCCUACCAAGGCGACGAUCUGUAGCGGGUCUGAGAGGAUGAUCCGCCACACUGGGACUGAGACACGGCCCAGACUCCUACGGGAGGCAGCAGUGGGGAAUAUUGGACAAUGGGGGGAACCCUGAUCCAGCCAUGCCGCGUGUGUGAAGAAGGCCUUAUGGUUGUAAAGCACUUUAAGCGAGGAGGAGGCUACUUUAGUUAAUACCUAGAGAUAGUGGACGUUACUCGCAGAAUAAGCACCGGCUAACUCUGUGCCAGCCGCCGCCGUAA